Small nuclear RNA from Pteronotus mesoamericanus, 186 nucleotides. RefSeq annotates it as U2 spliceosomal RNA. The transcript has a single exon. The record is from RefSeq and is a predicted model, not a curated record. NCBI's taxonomy places the organism in Eukaryota, Metazoa, Chordata, Mammalia, Chiroptera, Mormoopidae.
AUCACUUCUCAGCCUUUUGGCUAAGAUCAACUGUAGUAUGUUAACAAUUUAAUGUAUGAUAUGCCCUCUAUCCGAGGACUGUAUAUUAAAUGGAUUUUUGGAGCAGGUAGAUGGAAUGAGAGCUUGCUCUGUCUACUGUGCGCAUGUAUCUGAUAUCACAAUGCCUUUGGAAACAGAGCACCAAAA